Molecule: ribosomal RNA, 465 nt
Filed under: Vreelandella stevensii
Lineage: Bacteria; Pseudomonadati; Pseudomonadota; Gammaproteobacteria; Oceanospirillales; Halomonadaceae
Description: partial 16S ribosomal RNA
Rfam family: Bacterial small subunit ribosomal RNA
Source: RNAcentral
CCUACGGGUGGCUGCAGUGGGGAAUAUUGGACAAUGGGGGGAACCCUGAUCCAGCCAUGCCGCGUGUGUGAAGAAGGUCCUCGGGUUGUAAAGCACUUUCAGUGAGGAAGAACGCCUGGUGGUUAAUACCCAUCAGGAAAGACAUCACUCACAGAAGAAGCACCGGCUAACUCCGUGCCAGCAGCCGCGGUAAUACGGAGGGUGCGAGCGUUAAUCGGAAUUACUGGGCGUAAAGCGCGCGUAGGUGGCUUGAUAAGCCGGUUGUGAAAGCCCCGGGCUCAACCUGGGAACGGCAUCCGGAACUGUCAAGCUAGAGUGCAGGAGAGGAAGGUAGAAUUCCCGGUGUAGCGGUGAAAUGCGUAGAGAUCGGGAGGAAUACCAGUGGCGAAGGCGGCCUUCUGGACUGACACUGACACUGAGGUGCGAAAGCGUGGGUAGCAAACAGGAUUAGAUACCCUUGUAGUC